Molecule: ribosomal RNA, 468 nt
Filed under: uncultured bacterium
Lineage: Bacteria
Description: partial 16S ribosomal RNA
Rfam family: Bacterial small subunit ribosomal RNA
Source: RNAcentral
GACGAACGCUGGCGGCGUGCUUAACACAUGCAAGUCGAACGGAAAGGCCCUGCUUUUGUGGGGUUCUCGAGUGGCGAACGGGUGAGUAACACGUGAGUAACCUGCCCUUGACUUUGGGAUAACUUCAGGAAACUGGGGCUAAUACCGGAUAGGAGCUCCUGCUGCAUGGUGGGGGUUGGAAAGUUUCGGCGGUUGGGGAUGGACUCGCGGCUUAUCAGCUUGUUGGUGGGGUAGUGGCUUACCAAGGCUUUGACGGGUAGCCGGCCUGAGAGGGUGACCGGCCACAUUGGGACUGCGAUACGGCGCAGACUCGUACGGGAGGCAGCAGUGGGGAAUAUUGCACAAUGGGCGGAAGCCUGAUGCAGAAACGCCGCGUGCGGGAUGACGGCCUUCGGGUUGUAAACCGCUUUCGCCUGUGACGAAGCGUGAGUGACGGUAAUGGGUAAAGAAGCACCGGCUAACUACGUG